ACCGGGCGUAUAGGCAUUGUACGACCCGUGGUGACACCGUUGGCUUCCCCGAAUGCCCCGGCUACGGCUACCCAGGCUCAUCAGCCACAGGAGCCAGCAGCCCCGGGUGCGCCACCUCCAGAGCGUACUGCCGCAACCGGAGGUACCGUCCCAGCUCAGCGAGGCAUUGCCAGCGCUGAACCUCGUCUCCGACGACGAGUAGCUGAGUCUGGCAGCCGCAGCGAUCCGAUCCCUGCGGACCCACAAGAAGAAGAACGGCGUAUUGCUGAGGACAUCAUUCAUAAGGUCAACAAGUAUGCACUACCAUUGGGUACAACUCUACGAUGCAACCCUAUCAGCAUCUACACGAAGGUUGGCAGCCGAGUCCUUGGGUUGGCUCGUCAGCACACCAACACUGGCAACCCCCAGCCUGGCCCCAUGUUUGGUCCAGCGAGGCCUGCGGCAGGCACCAUGCAAGCUUCUCUUUCAGAGCGACCAUCUUCAACAAUACCCGCCUGGAAGUCUGAUGCCGUCGUACCACCCUGGCAAGUUUGCAAAGCUACCGUAUGGAUAAUUGAUGGACAUGGAGGACAAGUUCCCGUCCCUGCUGUCAUCGAUUCUGGGGCUUCUCAUAGUGUUGUUACACGAGACACACUACGGCGUUUAGACCUUCUACACCUGAUGGAGGAGACGGAGGUGACGUUCCUGAAUGCGGAUGGCAAUCGUGGUCGGGCCGCUGGACGUGUCAGUGAACUGCAAGUGUCCACUGGCGACCUAACGAUGCUGCUGAGUCCGUUCGUCAGCACCGCCCUCAACUAUCAGCUACUCCUGGGCACUGACUUCCUCUACCCAAUACGAGCAAGCAUUUCGUACGACAGUAGUCGCCUGGAAUACACCAAUGACCGGGAUCAGCGGUCCAACAUUGCUAUCCAUUUUCUUCGGAGCCCCAGCUCUAAUAUUCCCCCGUCUGCUCGGCUUUGGGACGACUCACCUGAGCAAGACGACACUCAACCAGCUUCCAUGUUGACGGCCGAGGCAUCAAUACAGCGGCCUGAGGCGCCCACGCCACAAGGGCAGAUGUCACCUGCGGCUAUCAAUAGAGGCUCCGCGCCUGAGACCAUUGAUUCACCUGAGGGAAACAGCGGAGAGGUUAGUGAUGGUGAUUCGACAGCCCGUGGGGACAUGGACAUGGAACACAUCGUCGGCCUACUUGUACGGCAAGUGCUUAGGUCAGACGAGAUUCCGUCGGAAAGUGCCUCCAGCGGCGAAUGGGCUGCGGAUGCAUGGAGUACCGACAGCGUCGUCAGUUCUGGCAGUGAAGAGGCUCGGGCAAAUGUCUGGCCUGGAGAUGAGUUCGAGUACGACAAUGACUCGCACUCCGGACCUGGACCGCCAAUAUCGACCCCUGCGGAUCCAUUCCGUUCUUUUCCUGAAACUACUCCCGUCUUAAGUUCGCGAUAGCUCCUGUUACCACGAUUGCUAACUGAGGAGUGUGCUUCCGUUACCCACAGCCAUGCUGCGGCAGCACAGUUUGAUGCGAACAUGCCAGCUGCCCUUGCCCCAGACGGCUUGGAUCAUGACGGACAUUUAGAGGAGGCUCAUUUUCGCGGGUUGGUAGCCCGUGCGGUUCGGCCAGUCAAGAGCCCUACCCCUGAGCUACGCGAGUUGCUAAGCAGCAAAGUAAACACCGAUCUUCAGUGCCUCGACCACCAGCAGCUGGUCGCAUGUUUGACUGACAACUUUGACAUGUUCGCCUUAACCAACCGAGAGCUAGGGCGUACGUCCUGGGUGUCCAUGAAGGUGGACACGGGAGAUCAUCCUCCUAUCGUGCAGAAUCCUUACCGUCUGUCACGAACGGAGAAAGCCGCCGUUGAUGCUGAGAUGCGGCAGAUGCUACAGGACGGGAUCAUUGAAUUGUCCAACAGUCCUUGGGUGUCUCCAGUAGUAGUCGUUCCCAAGAAAAACGGAGAACUCCGGCCCUGUGUGGAUAUGCGGAGGGUCAACGACGUCACUAAGGACAUCCGGUUUCCGAUAGGCCACAUCCAGGAUAUUUUGGAUAUUGCUGCACCUCCGGGUGGCGAGACUCGUUACUACUCCAGCCUGGACUUGAAGUCGGGCUACUGGCAAGUCCCGAUGGCGGACGAGGCUUCUAAGGAGCGUACGGCAUUUGCCACGCCCACAGCUCAGUAUCGAUAUGUACGAAUGCCCAUGGGUCUAAAGGGGGCAGCCGCCGU
This 2213-nucleotide long non-coding RNA is filed under the name Volvox carteri. RNAcentral's name for it is "long non-coding RNA (VCAR_LNC004041)". The record is from RNAcentral. Lineage: Eukaryota; Viridiplantae; Chlorophyta; Chlorophyceae; Chlamydomonadales; Volvocaceae.